Transfer RNA from Cylindrobasidium torrendii FP15055 ss-10, 80 nucleotides. It matches the Rfam family "tRNA". Rfam says of the family: Transfer RNA (tRNA) molecules are approximately 80 nucleotides in length. NCBI's taxonomy places the organism in Eukaryota, Fungi, Basidiomycota, Agaricomycetes, Agaricales, Physalacriaceae. The record is from Rfam.
GGCAACUUGGCCGAGCGGUCUAAGGCGCCAGAAUCAGGAUCUGGUCUUUCGGGGCGUGAGUUCGAAUCUCACAGUUGUCA